CCCUUAGAUGUUCUGGGCUGCACGCGUGCUACAAUGAAGCGUCCAACAAGAUGCGAAGCCGAAAGGCUCAGCGGAUCUUUGAAGUCGUUUCGUGACCGGGACAGUUGAUUGCAAUUAUUCGACUCGAACGAGGAAUUCCUUGUAAUCGCGAUUCAUCAUAUCGCGCUGAAUACGUCCCUGCCCUUUGUACCCACCGCCCGUCGCUCCUACCGAUUGAGCGAUCCGGUGAAUUAUUUGGAGUGUCCACGCAAGCCAAUCCGUUUACGUGGGUGCGAAAUUUUGUAAACCUUAUCGCUUAGAGGAAGGAAAAGUCGUAACA
Molecule: ribosomal RNA, 319 nt
Filed under: uncultured eukaryote
Lineage: Eukaryota
Description: partial 18S ribosomal RNA
Rfam family: Eukaryotic small subunit ribosomal RNA
Source: RNAcentral